Molecule: non-coding RNA, 56 nt
Organism: Pyrococcus abyssi GE5
Lineage: Archaea; Methanobacteriati; Methanobacteriota; Thermococci; Thermococcales; Thermococcaceae
Source: Rfam
GGCGAUGAAGAACUGGAUCCGAGCUGAGCUUAUGAUGAUGGAGGUUUAACCUGAGC